UACGUAGGGGGCUAGCGUUGUCCGGAUUUAUUGGGCGUAAAGAGCGUGUAGGCGGCCCGGUAAGUCCGCUGUGAAAGUCGGGGGCUCAACCCUCGAAUGCCGGUGGAUACUGUCGGGCUAGAGUGCGGAAGAGGCGAGUGGAAUUCCUGGUGUAGCGGUGAAAUGCGCAGAUAUCAGGAGGAACACCGAUUGCGAAGGCAGCUCGCUGGGACGUCACUGACGCUGAGACGCGAAAGCGUGGGGAGCGAACAGG
This 253-nucleotide ribosomal RNA is filed under the name uncultured bacterium. RNAcentral describes it as "partial 16S ribosomal RNA". It matches the Rfam family "Bacterial small subunit ribosomal RNA", at positions 524 to 776 of the family's 1533-position model. The record is from RNAcentral.